GGCGGCAGGCCUAACACAUGCAAGUCGAACGGUAACAGGAAGCARYUUGCUGCUUCGCUGACGAGUGGCGGACGGGUGAGUAAUGUCUGGGAAACUGCCUGAUGGAGGGGGAUAACUACUGGAAACGGUAGCUAAUACCGCAUAACGUCGCAAGACCAAAGAGGGGGACCUUCGGGCCUCUUGCCAUCGGAUGUGCCCAGAUGGGAUUAGCUAGUAGGUGGGGUAACGGCUCACCUAGGCGACGAUCCCUAGCUGGUCUGAGAGGAUGACCAGCCACACUGGAACUGAGACACGGUCCAGACUCCUACGGGAGGCAGCAGUGGGGAAUAUUGCACAAUGGGCGCAAGCCUGAUGCAGCCAUGCCGCGUGUAUGAAGAAGGCCUUCGGGUUGUAAAGUACUUUCAGCGGGGAGGAAGGYGUUGAGGUUAAUAACCUCAGCAAUUGACGUUACCCGCAGAAGAAGCACCGGCUAACUCCGUGCCAGCCAGCCGCGGUAAUACGGAGGGUGCAAGCGUUAAUCGGAAUUACUGGGCGUAAAGCGCACGCAGGCGGUCUGUCAAGUCGGAUGUGAAAUCCCCGGGCUCAACCUGGGAACUGCAUUCGAAACUGGCAGGCUAGAGUCUUGUAGAGGGGGGUAGAAUUCCAGGU
Molecule: ribosomal RNA, 648 nt
Filed under: Enterobacter hormaechei
Lineage: Bacteria; Pseudomonadati; Pseudomonadota; Gammaproteobacteria; Enterobacterales; Enterobacteriaceae
Description: bacterial SSU rRNA
Rfam family: Bacterial small subunit ribosomal RNA
Source: RNAcentral